This 492-nucleotide ribosomal RNA is filed under the name uncultured bacterium. RNAcentral describes it as "partial 16S ribosomal RNA". It matches the Rfam family "Bacterial small subunit ribosomal RNA", at positions 29 to 507 of the family's 1533-position model. The record is from RNAcentral.
AGUGAACGCUGGCGGUAGGCCUAACACAUGCAAGUCGAACGGCAGCACAGUAAGAGCUUGUUCUUAGGGGUGGCGAGUGGCGGACGGGUGAGGAAUACAUCGGAAUCUACUUUUUCGUGGGGGAUAACGUAGGGAAACUUACGCUAAUAACGUAUACGACCUACGGGUGAAAGCAGGGGAUCUUCGGACCUUGCGCGAUUGAAUGAGCCGAUGUCGGAUUAGCUAGUUGGAGGGGUAAAGACCCACCAAGGCAACGAUCCGUAGCUGGUCUGAGAGGAUGAUAAGCCACACUGGAACUAAGACAGGGUACAGACACCUACGGGAGGCAGCCGUGGGGAAUAGUGGACAAUGGGCGCAAGCCUGAUCCAGCCACACCGCGUCGGUGAAGAAGGCCUUCGGGUUGUAAAGCACUUUUGUUGGUAAAGAAAAGAAGCAGGUUAAUACCCCGGUGUACUGACGGUACCCAAAGAAUAAGCACCGGCUAACGCCGUG